RNAcentral lists this ribosomal RNA (447 nucleotides) under uncultured bacterium. Its description in RNAcentral is "bacterial SSU rRNA". It matches the Rfam family "Bacterial small subunit ribosomal RNA", at positions 355 to 825 of the family's 1533-position model. The record is from RNAcentral.
UCGGGAAUUUUGGGCAAUGGGGGAAACCCUGACCCAGCAACGCCGCGUGAAGGAUGAAGUAUUUCGGUAUGUAAACUUCGAAAGAAUAGGAAGAAUAAAUGACGGUACUAUUUAUAAGGUCCGGCUAACUACGUGCCAGCAGCCGCGGUAAUACGUAGGGACCAAGCGUUGUUCGGAUUUACUGGGCGUAAAGGGCGCGUAGGCGGCAUGACAAGUCACUUGUGAAAUCUCUGGGCUUAACCCAGAACGGCCAAGUGAUACUGUCGCGCUAGAGUGCAGAAGGGGCAAUCGGAAUUCUUGGUGUAGCGGUGAAAUGCGUAGAUAUCAAGAGGAACACCUGAGGUGAAGACGGGUUGCUGGGCUGACACUGACGCUGAGGCGCGAAAGCCAGGGGAGCAAACGGGAUUAGAUACCCAUGUAUUCCCUGAGCGGGCUGGCAAGGCGCAU